This 302-nucleotide ribosomal RNA is filed under the name uncultured bacterium. RNAcentral's name for it is "partial 16S ribosomal RNA". It matches the Rfam family "Bacterial small subunit ribosomal RNA", at positions 508 to 808 of the family's 1533-position model. The record is from RNAcentral.
GCAGUAGCCGCGGGAAUACGGAGGGUGCAAGCGUUAAUCGGAAUUACUGGGCGUAAAGCGCACGCAGGCGGUCUGACAAGUCAGAUGUGAAAUCCCCGGGCUUAACCUGGGAACUGCAUUUGAAACUGUCAGGCUGGAGUCUUGUAGAGGGGGGUGGAAUUCCAGGUGUAGCGGUGAAAUGCGUAGAGAUCUGGAGGAAUACCGGUGGCGAAGGCGGCCCCCUGGACAAAGACUGACGCUCAGGUGCGAAAGCGUGGGGAGCAAACAGGAUUAGAUACCCAGUAGUCCCUGUCUCUUAUACC